AUGAAGAUCUUCAUGGUCUUUGCCCUCCUCGUUGCAUCAACGACCAUCACCACCGCGACCGCACAGCUCGACCCUCGCAUCCAUGACCAAGAAAGGCCACAACAAUCGUUUCUGCAACAGCAACCACUUAUCCAGCAACAACCAUACCCGCCUCAAGAGCCACAACAACCACUAUUCCCGCAAAAAGAGCCACAACAACCAUUUCCGCUGCAGCAGCCACAAUACCAGCAACAACAACCGUAUCCACAACAACCACUUCCCCAAGAACAACUUCCCCAGCAACAUUUAUUUCCGCAGCAGCCGCCACAACAACAAUUUCCACAACAGAUGCCACUUCCGCAUCAACAACAAACAUUCCCGCAACAACAACAACAACAAGAACAACUCCCACAACAACAACCACAAUUCCCGCAACAACAACCAUUUUCCCAAUAUCAACAACCAUUAACACAACAACCAUACUCGCAAGAGCAACCAUUGCCACAACAACAACCUUCUGUAGAGGAAAAACAACAAUUGAACUUGUGCAAGGAGUUCCUCCUGCAGCAGUGUAACCCAGAGGAGAAACUGUCGUUACUCCAGUCAGUGAUCCCGUUCCUCCGACCAAAGACCUCGCAACAGAACAGCUGCCAGUUGAAGCGACUACAAUGUUGUCGACAACUUGCACAUAUCAGUGAACCGUCCCGAUGCCCGGCCAUCCACAACAUUGUGCAUGCCAUCGUCAUGCAACAACAACAUGUGGAUAGAGGUUUCGGCCAGCCUCAACCACAACAGUUGGGCCAGGAAAUGCCCAUGCAGCCUCAACAUCAAUUGGGCCAGCACUCUAUCCUACCUCAACAACUAGCCCAGUACCAGUUGGUUAGGUUACUUGUGAUUCAGACCCUUCCUAUGUUAUGCAACGUGCAUGUCCCGUCUGAUUGCUACACCAUUACUGCACCAUUUGGUAGCAUGACUGCCUACAAUGGUGGACAAUGA
This 975-nucleotide ribosomal RNA is filed under the name Triticum aestivum (bread wheat). RNAcentral describes it as "partial small subunit ribosomal RNA". The record is from RNAcentral. Lineage: Eukaryota; Viridiplantae; Streptophyta; Magnoliopsida; Poales; Poaceae.